CCCUGUGUGUGUGUGUGUGCAUCUGUAAGCAAGAGAGCGGGAGAAAGAGAGUAUGUGCUUUCUGUUCAUAAUAAAACAUAAUUUUGUGGCAAAACAUGGAAAUGAUCUGUUGUUUUUAUGCUAUUGUUUACUGUGCUUAUUUGUUUGGCCAUUGUCAUUGUGGGCUUUGGUUAUUGCUGCUGUAAGACCUUUGAAAUAACUGAAAUCAUUUGGCGAAGUGAUAUGGACAUGUAAUGUGAUCAAGAGCUGCCAGGAACUACAUUCGCGGUGAGUUUCCCUGAAAAUAAUUGUACACCUUUGAAUGUUCAUCAGCCUAUCAGAUUCAGACAUGCAUAGUAUAAAUUUGUAUUAUGGUGGUGAAUGUGUUAGUCCUAAAAAAGCAAGAUCAUAUAGAAUCAUCUAUAGUGAAUGAGUACAGUAAUAUGAACACUUCAAAGCUUGUUCAUACAGAAACGCAUAUAAAGACAUACGUAAUGAUCUCAUUUUAUCAUCUGUGUUCAUAUGAGUCAUAUCAGUGUCACCUACAUGUCAGUUUGUAUUUAUCAUAUUUGCACUACUCACAGCACAUGUAUCCAUGUACUGUAGUAAUGACCAUUUCUGUAUAAUCCAGUGAAAGAUAUAAAGCUAAGUUUAUAUAUGGAAGUGUCUUCCUCUCAUUUCUUUUUUUAUUUGGAACACAAACCAAAAUACCAGAGAUCAUACCAAAUGAAUAACAAGGCUGAAAACAGCUUUAUAUUAUGAAACACUUAAAUUACAAAUAAAAAUGUUAGAAAUCUGAUUGGAUGAGCCGAUAUACUAGCAACCUAAUCACAAAUCAGUUGAACUCUUUUUUUUUUCUGCCUUUUUUACCCUACCUGUGAGAAACGAUGGGCGGGGCUAAACAGGCAGUGACAUGGAAUCUGUGGGUGGGGCUAAACAGGCAGUGAUGUAUAAUCUGUGGGCGGGGCUAAACAGGCAGCAAUGUAGAAGCAGGCAUUGAUCUUCUUUUGUGGAGGCGGUGCUUAUCCACACUAUUACGUCAUAGACUCAUACAUUCCACAAGCUGUCAUUACGGCAGACUGGCUUCAAUAUAAGCUGUUUUUAGACUAAUGAGAAAGUUAAGUUCUGAAAACUACAGGAUGUUUUAUAGUACAAUGACCUCUUAUAUGUCAAAAGAUCAAGGAAAUUUUGGUUUUUU
This is a long non-coding RNA of Cyprinus carpio carpio, 1177 nucleotides long. The record is from Ensembl. Lineage: Eukaryota; Metazoa; Chordata; Actinopteri; Cypriniformes; Cyprinidae.